GUCUAUGGUGAUGCCACUCUGAACAAGAUCGAUCCCGUCUGAUCUCAGAAUCUAGGCAGGGUGGGGCCUGGUUAGUACUUGGAUGGGAGACCACCUAGGAAGACCAGAUGCUGUAGGUG
This 119-nucleotide ribosomal RNA is filed under the name Pteropus alecto (black flying fox). The record is from RNAcentral. Lineage: Eukaryota; Metazoa; Chordata; Mammalia; Chiroptera; Pteropodidae.